AGAGUUUGAUCAUGGCUCAGAACGAACGCUGGCGGCAUGCCUAACACAUGCAAGUCGAACGCGUGUAGCAAUACACGAGUGGCGGACGGGUGAGUAACGCGUGGGAACCUGCCCAAUGGUAGGGAAUAACUGCGGGAAACUGCAGCUAAUACCCUAUGCUCCCUACGGGGGAAAGAUUUAUCGCCAUUGGAGGGGCCCGCGUCGGAUUAGCUAGUUGGCGGGGUAAUGGCCCACCAAGGCUACGACCCGUAGCUGGUCUGAGAGGAUGAUCAGCCACACUGGGACUGAGAUACGGCCCAGACUCCUACGGGAGGCAGCAGUGGGGAAUAUUGGACAAUGGGGGAAACCCUGAUCCAGCAAUGCCGCGUGAGUGAAGAAGGCCUUAGGGUUGUAAAGCUCUUUCGGCGGGGACGAUGGUGACGGUACCCGCAGAAGAAGCCCCGGCUAACUUCGUGCCAGCAGCCGCGGUAAUACGAAGGGGGCUAGCGUUGUUCGGAAUCACUGGGCGUAAAGGGCGCGUAGGCGGCGCGACAAGUCAGGCGUGAAAGCCCCGGGCUCAACCCGGGAAUUGCGCUUGAUACUGUCGUGCUUGAGGCCGGGAGAGGAUGGCGGAAUUCCCAGUGUAGAGGUGAAAUUCGUAGAUAUUGGGAAGAACACCGGUGGCGAAGGCGGCCAUCUGGACCGGUUCUGACGCUGAGGCGCGAAAGCGUGGGGAGCAAACAGGAUUAGAUACCCCCGUAGUCC
Molecule: ribosomal RNA, 744 nt
Filed under: uncultured bacterium
Lineage: Bacteria
Description: bacterial SSU rRNA
Rfam family: Bacterial small subunit ribosomal RNA
Source: RNAcentral